UGCGGGUGUCGCCCAGCCUGGCCAAAGGCGCUAGCUUGAGGGGUUAGUCUCUUAGGAGUUCGUGGGUUCAAAUCCCACCACCCGCAUCUA
Molecule: transfer RNA, 90 nt
Filed under: Candidatus Nitrosarchaeum limnium BG20
Lineage: Archaea; Thermoproteati; Nitrososphaerota; Nitrososphaeria; Nitrosopumilales; Nitrosopumilaceae
Description: Candidatus Nitrosoarchaeum limnia BG20 tRNA-Leu
Rfam family: tRNA
About the family: Transfer RNA (tRNA) molecules are approximately 80 nucleotides in length. Their secondary structure includes four short double-helical elements and three loops (D, anti-codon, and T loops). Further hydrogen bonds mediate the characteristic L-shaped molecular structure. tRNAs have two regions of fundamental functional importance: the anti-codon, which is responsible for specific mRNA codon recognition, and the 3' end, to which the tRNAs corresponding amino acid is attached (by aminoacyl-tRNA synthetases). tRNAs cope with the degeneracy of the genetic code in two manners: having more than one tRNA (with a specific anti-codon) for a particular amino acid; and 'wobble' base-pairing, i.e. permitting non-standard base-pairing at the 3rd anti-codon position.
Source: RNAcentral